Molecule: ribosomal RNA, 379 nt
Filed under: Staphylococcus aureus
Lineage: Bacteria; Bacillati; Bacillota; Bacilli; Caryophanales; Staphylococcaceae
Description: bacterial SSU rRNA
Rfam family: Bacterial small subunit ribosomal RNA
Source: RNAcentral
GUCACUUAUAGAUGGAUCCGCGCUGCAUUAGCUAGUUGGUAAGGUAACGGCUUACCAAGGCAACGAUGCAUAGCCGACCUGAGAGGGUGAUCGGCCACACUGGAACUGAGACACGGUCCAGACUCCUACGGGAGGCAGCAGUAGGGAAUCUUCCGCAAUGGGCGAAAGCCUGACGGAGCAACGCCGCGUGAGUGAUGAAGGUCUUCGGAUCGUAAAACUCUGUUAUUAGGGAAGAACAUAUGUGUAAGUAACUGUGCACAUCUUGACGGUACCUAAUCAGAAAGCCACGGCUAACUACGUGCCAGCAGCCGCGGUAAUACGUAGGUGGCAAGCGUUAUCCGGAAUUAUUGGGCGUAAAGCGCGCGUAGGCGGUUUUUUA